GCUACGGGGAGCAGCAGUGAGGAAUAUUGGUCAAUGGACGCAAGUCUGAACCAGCCAAGUAGCGUGCAGGAUGACGGCCCUCCGGGUUGUAAACUGCUUUUAGUUGGGAAUAAAAGGGGGCUCGUGAGCCCCGUAUUGUAUGUACCAUCAGAAAAAGGACCGGCUAAUUCCGUGCCAGCAGCCGCGGUAAUACGGAAGGUCCGGGCGUUAUCCGGAUUUAUUGGGUUUAAAGGGAGCGUAGGCGGGCUUUUAAGUCAGCUGUGAAAGUCCGCGGCUCAACCGUGGAAUUGUAGUUGAUACGGGAGGCCUUGAGUGCACACAGGGAUGCCGGAAUUCAUGGUGUAGCGGUGAAAUGCUUAGAUAUCAUGAAGAACUCCGAUCGCGAAGGCGGCUCUCUGGUCUGUAACUGACGCUGAGGUUCGAAAGCGUGGGUAGCAAACAGGAUUAGAUACCCCUGUAGUC
Molecule: ribosomal RNA, 462 nt
Filed under: uncultured bacterium
Lineage: Bacteria
Description: partial 16S ribosomal RNA
Rfam family: Bacterial small subunit ribosomal RNA
Source: RNAcentral